GAUGAACGCUGGCGGGGUGCCUAAUACAUGCAAGUAGAACGCUGAAGCUUGGUGCUUGCACCGAGCGGAUGAGUUGCGAACGGGUGAGUAACGCGUAGGUAACCUGCCUCUUAGCGGGGGAUAACUAUUGGAAACGAUAGCUAAUACCGCAUAAAAGUCGAUAUCGCAUGAUGUUGAUUUGAAAGGUGCAAUUGCAUCACUAAGAGAUGGACCUGCGUUGUAUUAGCUAGUUGGUGAGGUAACGGCUCACCAAGGCGACGAUACAUAGCCGACCUGAGAGGGUGAUCGGCCACACUGGGACUGAGACACGGCCCAGACUCCUACGGGAGGCAGCAGUAGGGAAUCUUCGGCAAUGGGGGCAACCCUGACCGAGCAACGCCGCGUGAGUGAAGAAGGUUUUCGGAUCGUAAAGCUCUGUUGUAAGAGAAGAACGAGUGUGAGA
RNAcentral lists this ribosomal RNA (442 nucleotides) under Streptococcus parasanguinis. RNAcentral describes it as "bacterial SSU rRNA". It matches the Rfam family "Bacterial small subunit ribosomal RNA", at positions 28 to 460 of the family's 1533-position model. Lineage: Bacteria; Bacillati; Bacillota; Bacilli; Lactobacillales; Streptococcaceae. The record is from RNAcentral.